CCUGUAAUCUACUCCGUCCGGAAAUACUUAUCGUAGGAAUGCAUAAAUAUGGAUGUAUCUAGAACUAAAAUACAUCUAGAUACAUCCAUUUCGUCGACAAGUGUUUCCGGACGGAGGGAGUAUAAA
Triticum aestivum (bread wheat) is the source of this 126-nucleotide non-coding RNA. NCBI's taxonomy places the organism in Eukaryota, Viridiplantae, Streptophyta, Magnoliopsida, Poales, Poaceae. The record is from Rfam.